Molecule: ribosomal RNA, 253 nt
Filed under: uncultured prokaryote
Description: partial 16S ribosomal RNA
Rfam family: Bacterial small subunit ribosomal RNA
Source: RNAcentral
ACGGGGGGUGCGAGCGUUGUCCGGAAUCACUGGGCGUAAAGGGCGCGUAGGUGGUCUGAUAAGGGUGUGGUGAAAGCCCGGGGCUUAACCCCGGGUCUGCAGUCGAUACGGGCAGGCUAGAGUUCGGUAGGGGAGAUCGGAAUUCCUGGUGUAGCGGUGAAAUGCGCAGAUAUCAGGAGGAACACCGGUGGCGAAGGCGGAUCUCUGGGCCGAUACUGACGCUGAGGAGCGAAAGCGUGGGGAGCGAACAGGA